UCGAGAAGGAUGAUCAGCACACCUGGAACUGAGAACACCGGUCCAGACUCUACGGGAGGCAGCAGUGGGAUAUGCACAAUGGGCGCAAGCUGAUGCAGCAUGCCGCGUGUGUGAAGAAGGCCUUCGGGUUGUAAAGCACUUUCAGUCGUGAGGAAGGUAGUGUAGUUAAUAGCUGCAUUAUUGACGUUAGCGACAGAAGAAGCACCGGCUAACUCCGUGCCAGCAGCCGCGGUAAUACGGAGGGUGCGAGCGUUAAUCGGAAUUACUGGGCGUAAAGCGCAUGCAGGUGGUUUGUUAAGUCAGAUGUGAAAGCCCGGGGCUCAACCUCGGAAUUGCAUUUGAAACUGGCAGACUAGAGUACUGUAGAGGGGGGUAGAAUUUCAGGUGUAGCGGUGAAAUGCGUAGAGAUCUGAAGGAAUACCGGUGGCGAAGGCGGCCCCCUGGACAGAUACUGACACUCAGAUGCGAAAGCGUGGGGAGCAAACAGGAUUAGAUACCCUGGUAGUCCACGCCGUAAACGAUGUCUACUUGGAGGUUGUGGCCUUGAGCCGUGGCUUUCGGAGCUAACGCGUUAAGUAGACCGCCUGGGGAGUACGGUCGCAAGAUUAAAACUCAAAUGAAUUGACGGGGGCCCGCACAAGCGGUGGAGCAUGUGGUUUAAUUCGAUGCAACGCGAAGAACCUUACCUACUCUUGACAUCCAGAGAACUUUCCAGAGAUGGAUUGGUGCCUUCGGGAACUCUGAGACAGGUGCUGCAUGGCUGUCGUCAGCUCGUGUUGUGAAAUGUUGGGUUAAGUCCCGCAACGAGCGCAACCCUUAUCCUUGUUUGCCAGCGAGUAAUGUCGGGAACUCCAGGGAGACUGCCGGUGAUAAACCGGAGGAAGGUGGGGACGACGUCAAGUCAUCAUGGCCCUUACGAGUAGGGCUACACACGUGCUACAAUGGCGCAUACAGAGGGCAGCCAACUUGCGAAAGUGAGCGAAUCCCAAAAAGUGCGUCGUAGUCCGGAUUGGAGUCUGCAACUCGACUCCAUGAAGUCGGAAUCGCUAGUAAUCGUGGAUCAGAAUGCCACGGUGAAUACGUUCCCGGGCCUUGUACACACCGCCCGUCACACCAUGGGAGUGGGCUGCAAAAGAAGUAGGUAGUUUAACCUUCGGGGGGACGCUUACCACUUUGUUCCGA
This 1182-nucleotide ribosomal RNA is filed under the name Vibrio parahaemolyticus. Its description in RNAcentral is "bacterial SSU rRNA". It matches the Rfam family "Bacterial small subunit ribosomal RNA", at positions 292 to 1471 of the family's 1533-position model. The record is from RNAcentral. Lineage: Bacteria; Pseudomonadati; Pseudomonadota; Gammaproteobacteria; Vibrionales; Vibrionaceae.